RNAcentral lists this transfer RNA (72 nucleotides) under Camelus bactrianus (Bactrian camel). It matches the Rfam family "tRNA". From Rfam's summary of the family: Transfer RNA (tRNA) molecules are approximately 80 nucleotides in length. Their secondary structure includes four short double-helical elements and three loops (D, anti-codon, and T loops). Lineage: Eukaryota; Metazoa; Chordata; Mammalia; Artiodactyla; Camelidae. The record is from Rfam by way of RNAcentral. RNAcentral also lists the same sequence under 3 other names.
GAAGGUAUAGCUCAGUGGUAGAGUGUGUGCUUAGUAUGCACAAGGUCCUGGGUUCAAUCCCCAGUACCUCUA